GGUUAGCAGAACGAGUUGGAAAGCUUAGCCAGAGACUGUGAUAGCCAGGUAUGCGAAAACGACGCUGACCUUAUUCUGUAUUCUCGAGUAGGUCGGGGCACGAGAAACCCUGAUUGAAUCCGGCUGGACCACCAGCCAAGGCUAAAUAUAGUAUAUGAUCGAUAGUGAACUAGUACGGUGACGGAAAGGUGAAAAGAACCCCGGGAGGGGAGUGAAAUAGAACCUGAAAUUUUGUGCCUACAAGGAGUCGGAGCCCAGCACCUUUGAAAUCGAGUGGUACAAUGUAGACAGAUGUUCUACGUGUACGUUUUGCAAAGUGAUCGGGAAUCAGAUCAAAUUUACUUCGGUCAGACUAGUGACUUAAGACGACGUCUCUCGGAACAUAAUUCCGGUAAGGAUACUUAUACCAAGAUAUAUGCGCCAUGGAGGGUUGUCUAUUAUGAAGCCUAUUCAUCACGUAAGCUGGCAUUAGCCCGUGAGAGGCAGUUGAAAGCUUAUGGACAAGCCAGGACUGCUCUGAAGAAGAGACUAAAUUUGAUCUGAUACUCGAUUUCAAAGGUGCUGGGUGACGGCGUGCUUUUUGUAGAACGAUCCAGCGAGUUAAUUUUUACGGCGAGGUUAAGUCAGAUGAUGAAGCCAUAGUGAAAGCGAGCAUUAACAGUGCGAUUUAGUCGUAAGGAUUAGACCCGAAACCAGGUGACCUAACCAUGAGCAGGUCGAAGCAACCUUAAUCGGUUGUGGAGGACCGAACCAGUGUAUAUUGCAAAAUGCUUGGAUGACUUGUGGUUAGCGGUGAAAUGCCAAUCGAACUUGGAGAUAGCUGGUUCUCCGCGAAAUAGUUAUAGGACUAGCGUCGUGUGAUAGCUUACGGGGGUAGAGCUCUGUCAAGAGAUAGGGGGAGCAAUCCUACCUACUCUUAAUAAACUACGAAUACCGUAUGUCUGUAUCACGGCAGUUAGAACGUCGGUGCUAAGAUCGGCGCUCAAAAGGGAAACAGCCCAGACCAUCAUCUAAGGUCCCCAAAUUUACGCUAAGUGGGAAACAAGGUGGAAUUUCUUAAACAGCUAGGAUGUUGGCUUAGAAGCAGCCAUUCAUUUAAAGAGUGCGUAACAGCUCACUAGUCAAGAGAUCUUGCGUGGAAAAUGUAACGGGGCUAAACGUAAUACCGAAGACAUGGGUCUAUGCAUUAGCAUGGGCGGUAGAGGAGCGUUCCUAUCGGCAGUGAAGCAGUAUUGUAAAGUGCUGUGGAGCGGUAGGAAGUGAGAAUGCUGGAAUGAGUAACCAUAAGAGAGGUGAGAAUCCUCUCGGCCGUAAGAGCAAGGUUUCCUGAGCUAUGGUAAUCAUCUCAGGGUUAGUCGGGCCUAAGCCGAGGCGCAUAGCGUAGGCGAUGGACAUCAGGUUGAUAUUCCUGAACCGGCGUAGUUUGUACACUGUUCACGGAGAGAUAUUCAGAGCGGAUUCAUGGUUUAUCCGUCCAACCUAGCGGGAACGCAAAGGGAGUGAAAGUUACUCUACGGAGUGAUGAUUCUGGAAAAGGCUCUGGCUAGAAAAGCAGGUGUACGCGUGGCUAUGUCCGCCCGUACCGCAAACCAACACAGGUGCUCGAGUCGAGUAGACUCAGGCUUACGAGUGAACCUUCGCUAAGGAACUCGGCAAUACAGCGACCGUAACUUCGGAAUAAGGUCUGCCCCCACUUCGGUGGAUAUGUUGUCGGUUUCAAAGCUAGCAGGUGUGGUUGAAGAGUAUCUUUAAUACAUCAAUUCUUCUUGAGAUAGAACCAAUAGCUUUUGGAACUGAAGCUCAACGCAUCUAGCGAUGUGGGGGCCGCAGCAAAAGAGCCCACGGAACUGUUUAUCAAAAACACAGCUCUCUGCUAACACGAAAGUGGAUGUAUAGGGGGUGACUCCUGCCCGGUGCUGGAAGGUUAAGGGGAGUGCUUCACGGUACGAACUGAAGCCCCAGUGAACGGCGGCGGUAACUAUAACCGUCCUAAGGUAGCGAAAUUCCUUGUCAGGU
This 2016-nucleotide ribosomal RNA is filed under the name human oral metagenome. RNAcentral's name for it is "bacterial LSU rRNA". It matches the Rfam family "Bacterial large subunit ribosomal RNA", at positions 327 to 1977 of the family's 2925-position model. The record is from RNAcentral.